Molecule: long non-coding RNA, 2119 nt
Organism: Brassica rapa (field mustard)
Lineage: Eukaryota; Viridiplantae; Streptophyta; Magnoliopsida; Brassicales; Brassicaceae
Source: RefSeq, a predicted model, not a curated record
UAGAUAAGAAACCGAGGGCCGAGGGGUUGAGAAAGAUCCUAGGUUGGAAGGAAUCGGAAACGGCUAUAUGUUUUUUGAAACGUAGAAACGUGAUUAUUAACAAAAAAUAGGAAUGAAAACGUUUUGAAACGUUUAUAAAUAUAAGUACAAUUGUUUUCUUCUAUUUAAUGCAUCUAAGAAUACAAAUCAACAAAUAACCAUUGAUAGUGUUUAAGUAUACAGAAAUAAAAUAAAUAAAAAUAAAAUAUCAAAAAUCAUAUAAAAAUUCAAAAUAACACAAAUCCAAUACUCAUAUAUUACUUAAUUUAACUCAAGAUAAAAAUCAUAAAGACAAGCCAAAGAUCAAUAGCAUCAUCUUCAGCCUCAUUUUCAUUAGCUCCAGCAAACUUAACCAUUUAUCACCAAGAGAAAGAUAAAUUCAAGUCUCCCAAUAUUAAUCUCAUCCAAUGAAUCAAACCUCCAACAUCUCAUAUAUGAUUAAAACCAUCUUUGUAUUCAAGACUUCGUCUAUAGAUGGAAAAAGAAGAUUAGUGUACACAAAUACCAAAUCUUCUGCUCUUUGCAAAGUAUAUCCCCAUAUUUAUAAAUGGUUUAUAAAUCUGUUUUAAAUUAAAAAAUAACAUAAGAGUUUUUUUUGCUUUUCCAAAAAGAAUCUGUAAUUUCUAAAAUUCUAAAAUGAAAUUUAAAAAAAAAAACGAGUUUUGAAUGUGUUUUUACGAGUUUCAAGAAACUCCGAUUCUUAAACGUUUCAAAACGUGAAAUGGACAUUUACUCGAGUUCCAUUCAAUCUAAAAAAGAACUGAGACUAUUUUUUUUUUUUUUUUAUAGCUGGAAAGUAUCAGAAAAUGAAAAUCUGACUGUUGAAAUCUAUGAUUAUUUUCUUUAAACCAUUUGAAUAAAAUUUUGAUUUCAGAUUAAAACUGAAAAGUGAAACAGCCUAGAGCCGACAACUUUUGUGCGUGCUUUAUUAGAAAGUUUUUUUAUAAUUAGAAAGUUAAAACUUUCUGUCUAAUUUUCCAAAGAUAAAUUUGAAAUAUAAUUUUAUUGAUUCUUAUUUAUGGGGAUGUAUUUUUAUCCCGCCAAUUUGUCUAUUUCAAUUGCAAUAAAAAUUUAGAUGACAAAAGUAAAAAGAUAACAGUUUUAAGAAUUUGUUUUAAUUGUACUAGCACUACGAAUACAUAACCAUUUAUUUCCUAUUAGUAUACAGUUGUUCCAGUUACUUUGUUAACAUUACCACAAAGUUUAAUUUUUGGUGGACGUCUAUCUUCUUAAAAUUACUUACAACUACUACCAAAUACUAAUAUUAUGUAUUAUCUAAUUAGUGAUUAGUACGAUGCUAUUUUGUUUUAAUUUUGUCCACUAAGAUAUAAAACAAAUAUUUUGGUGUAUUUCGUCUCUUCGUUUAAAUGCUCUUUUAACACUUAAAUGGCUAUUAUGUAUACAGAAGAUGUUCAACCAUGUGUGUGAAGAAUCGGGUCAACGACAAAAAUGAUCGAAAAUGUUAUCUUCUUCGCCAUUUUCGGAUACGAAUAUAAAGGUUUGUUCAAAUCUGAAUAAAAUAUGUUUUCUCAGGAAUUUCAGUUCCAAAAUAUUCCCGUAAACAUGAUGCUUCUUUUGAAGUUUGAAAAUAAAAGUCACACGAUAUAAUAAUAUCUGAAUGUGAUUAAAUAGGGGAAGAAGAGAAGAUAUGAUUAAUUAGCUUAGAGGGAUAUAUAUUUAUUCAUUAUCUAAUUGAAAAUGGAUUUGUGGAACUUAUGAUGUCUCCCUUUCAAAUCCGGUCCACUAUUAUUGUUACAUUUCUGAUAGAAUUAAGAGAAUCUUGUCUAUGAUGCAGAUAUGCUAGAAAGAAAAUGGUAAUGUUCAUCAGGCUAUUCAUAAAAAUAAUCAUGGUGACCGUCUAAGUGAUUUAUAUGUUCCUUCAACAGGAACUUUGAAUGUCAUUUACAAAAAAAAUUGAUACAGAAGGCAGGAAAGAACCUGUAUCUGUACAUGAUAGUGUAUAAAUUUUUGAACUCUGUUCAAGAAUAUAACCAACCAUUCGUGUAUAUAGGCUAUGUGUUACUGUGGUUCUUCUGAGAAACAUUUUGAGAGCCACAUGUACUUCAACUUCACGAUCAAC